GUGCAAACUCGAUCACUAGCUCUGUGUGAUGUGGCAGAAGCUAAGGGAACCAGGUUUUGCUGAAGUAAUUUUGGUGAUAGAAAUGAAGUUAGCCUCAGGAGCUACUGAGGUGGCCCAUUCUAUCCUGUACAGUA
This 134-nucleotide small nucleolar RNA is filed under the name Tupaia belangeri chinensis (Chinese tree shrew). The record is from RNAcentral. Lineage: Eukaryota; Metazoa; Chordata; Mammalia; Scandentia; Tupaiidae.